CUGCUAACUCAAACAGCAUAUAUACUAAAAUUGGAACAAAACAGAGAAGAUUAGCAGAACCCUGUAGAGGAAUGACAUGCAAAUUCAUGAAACAUUCCAUAUUCUC
Molecule: small nuclear RNA, 106 nt
Organism: Phascolarctos cinereus (koala)
Lineage: Eukaryota; Metazoa; Chordata; Mammalia; Diprotodontia; Phascolarctidae
Source: Ensembl